RNAcentral lists this transfer RNA (73 nucleotides) under Microbacterium schleiferi. RNAcentral's name for it is "tRNA-Met". Lineage: Bacteria; Bacillati; Actinomycetota; Actinomycetes; Micrococcales; Microbacteriaceae. The record is from RNAcentral.
CGCGGCGAACCGGAUGGUUCCGGGCACCGGUUCAUACCCGGUUGCGCAGCGGGUUCGACUCCCGCCGUCGCGU